This is a small nucleolar RNA of Impatiens glandulifera, 76 nucleotides long. RefSeq annotates it as small nucleolar RNA snoR53Y. The transcript has a single exon. Lineage: Eukaryota; Viridiplantae; Streptophyta; Magnoliopsida; Ericales; Balsaminaceae. The record is from RefSeq and is a predicted model, not a curated record.
GUUCCCUAUGAUGAUUAAUAUCAUGCUAAUUCUGAUAAUUCUAUGUGAUUAUACAUUUAACAUUACUGAGGGAACA